This 510-nucleotide ribosomal RNA is filed under the name uncultured bacterium. Its description in RNAcentral is "partial 16S ribosomal RNA". It matches the Rfam family "Bacterial small subunit ribosomal RNA", at positions 355 to 855 of the family's 1533-position model. The record is from RNAcentral.
UGGGGAAUAUUGCACAAUGGGCGCAAGCCUGAUGCAGCCAUGCCGCGUGUGUGAAGAGGGCCUUCGGGUUGUAAAGCACUUUCAGCGAGGAGGAAGGUGGUGAGCUUAAUACGCUCAUCAAUUGACGUUACUCGCAGAAGAAGCACCGGCUAACUCCGUGCCAGCAGCCGCGGUAAUACGGAGGGUGCAAGCGUAAUCGAAUUACUGGGCGUAAAGCGCACGCAGGCGGUUUGUUAAGUCAGAUGUGAAAUCCCCGGGCUCAACCUGGGAACUGCAUUUGAAAACUGGCAAGCUAGAGUCUCGUAGAGGGGGGUAGAAUUCCAGGUGUAGCGGUGAAAUGCGUAGAGAUCUGGAGGAAUACCGGUGGCGAAGGCGGCCCCCUGGACGAAGACUGACGCUCAGGUGCGAAAAGCGUGGGGCAGCAAACAGGAUUAGAUACCCUGGUAGUCCAGCGCUGUAAAACGAUGUCGAUUUUGGAGGUUGUGCCCUUGAGGCGUGGCUCCGAGCUAA